GAAUAAUUUGUGAUUAAGAAAGUGUUAUUCAAAUUUUAUACAUUUUAUAAAUAUUAAGUACUUAUUUAAUUACCUUAAAAGGAAGGCAUUAAAUAAAUACCCGAAUUUUUAUUAUUUUUCUAGGGUGUAAAAUUUUUAAUGCAUAAAGGAAAAUAAAACAAGCCUAACAAAAUUGGUUUCACUAAUUUCGGACACUCCUACAAAUUUCUGCGAUUAAAAUGGUGUAAAACGAAUUUAAACGAAUUAUUUUGCUAAAGGAAAUCUAAUUUUUCCCGAAAAUCACCCGGAAUACUUUUCUUACUCACCCACUCUCUACCCUCUCUCACGAACACUGGGCGCCACGGCGCGGACCCCACCUCGCCUAUUCCUUCUACCCGUCGGCGCUAUUCCUCCCCCCGACGGGCCCCGCGGGCCGAUUUUCUUUUUCUUCUUUCUUCUGCGGCCCAACACCGGCCCACGGCCUUCUUUCCUUUUUCUUCUUUUAUUUUGCGACGCCGGCUCGCGAGCUGUUCUGGCCUCCGGCCCUUUUCCUUUCCGAUUCCAG
This 544-nucleotide long non-coding RNA is filed under the name Setaria viridis. Its description in RNAcentral is "long non-coding RNA (SVIR_LNC007043)". The record is from RNAcentral. Lineage: Eukaryota; Viridiplantae; Streptophyta; Magnoliopsida; Poales; Poaceae.